This is a long non-coding RNA of Calidris pugnax (ruff), 2926 nucleotides long. RefSeq lists it as uncharacterized. The record is from RefSeq and is a predicted model, not a curated record. The transcript is spliced from 3 exons. Lineage: Eukaryota; Metazoa; Chordata; Aves; Charadriiformes; Scolopacidae.
CGCGGGAGGGACAGGAUGCGCAGCAGUAGCGUCGCCGGGAAGCGGGGAAGUUGGCCGUACGGCCCCUUCCUGCGCUCCGCAGCAGAAAGGACAUGGUGGGGCCGCGCCGGGCCGGUGCUGCAGCGGGUGGGACCUGGUGGGGCCUCCGCUCUGCGCCCGUGAAAGGGCGGGGAGCGGGAGCUGCCGCCGUCAGGAGGCGGGAGGCACGAGUGCCUUUCCUCUCCUGGGCUGGUCUGAGGUGCGGGAGCUUCUGUCCGUUCCACAGCCUGCCGUCCGGAGCGGUCGGGAUACCUGCAGCUAGGAUGGUGUGGUCACUGCGCUCAUAAUUUGAGCUCUGACUUUCCUGGAACUGCUGCUACCUGUGUGUCCCCCCUGCCUUCCCCUCAACGGGGUAGCGUCUCAGAUGGGCCCAGCUUCCACCAAGCUCUGUAGGUGGCCAGGGCUGAUGUUUAGUAAAGAGGAUAAUGUGUAUUUUGUUGUUAGGUGCCUUUCCCAGGUGUGUUCCUAGGUAAGGGCUACCUGCUAAUCCAAUGCAGAGGUGAUACCUGUGUGAGUCACGCUGCUCAGCUUGUGUGUUGCCAGGAGGGUUUGUCAUCUUUGGGGCCACCACAGUUGUGACCAGUUAGUAUUACUCUUUUUAUCUUUCUCUCUCUGCCCGAAGGUAAACACCUACUAGAGAAGGUUUUCCCAAGAUUUUUUUGCCCAGCUGUGACUUGAACCUCUAGUCAUGUUUUGCAGUGUUGUUCAUAAUCAUUUGGGAGAUGGAGCUCUUCAUGUCUUCUCUUUUUAUAUUCAGAAUAGGGGAGGGGAGAGAAGAGAAACCCUUUAUCUACUUGUGAUUACAUGUUACCUGUUGCAUUUUGGCAAACACCUGCUUGUAGUGCUCUGUUGGUGCUGUUGAAGCCCAACAUCAGAGUCACACCUGUAGUACAUUUUACACAGCUAUCUCCAGUCAUGAAUUCUGAGGGCAGAAUGGAGUCAGUUAUUUUCAUGAGUUAAAGGUGGAUUGGAUUUUCACAUUAAGGUUUUAUCUGUUUCUAGGACCAUUUUAACCUUGCUCUUGGCUGCACAUUCCCCAUAGGAAGCCUCACCCUCUCUUCAGUGCAAAGGAAUACCUUGGGUUUGGACAUUAUCAUGCAGAUUGCUUAAGGUCUGCGUGUCUUAGUAACCUCCUGAGAGCAGAGCUCCUCCACUAUGAACACAGAGUUCAGUUAUAAUUCCUUCCUGGCAGGACUUCCUGCAGCAUUGCCAUCAGCUUGUGUGGAAAGGAGGAUAGCAUGCUCCCUUUACCAGCUUGGGCAACUGGAAAUUGUGAAAAAUUGGAAAUUGGUUUUACAACCUUAAUGUUGUUCUCUCAUCUCUGCUCGGCAUAUUCAUCCUGUAUGACUUUUAUUUUUUUUUUUUAGAACAACUUCUUAGAAGUGCCCUGUUUCUUGACUGGCUAGUACCAGGGUAAUUCACGGGGUUGCAAAACUCCCAACAGUUGCUGUUUGCUCUUUCUAGGAAUUACAUGUUCAAGGCCCUUUAUACGAGGGUGAGUUUUUGCCCUGAAGCAAGAUGAGUUUCAAUUUCUUUAAAACUUGUAAGAUCUCAUUACCCAGAAGUUUAGCAGCUCCCUAAUUCCCGUUCUGCCAGUCUUUCCAUCAAGAAUUUGUCUCCACCAUGGAGGCAUGGGAGGGGCAGGAAGGCCCUAGGAGCACUCCAGACUCUACCAAUACUGUCCCUUGUGGAUUAUUACUACAUUUUCUCUGCGGUGUUGACAGGCAGCUUGGAGUGACAGGUCUACUUAUGUGUAAUAAGCGUUGCAGUACAUGUGUUGCAUUUCAAAUUAAGAUAAAGAAGAAAAAGGAGCAAGUGACAUACAGAGCAAAGAACUUUCUGGAUUAAUAAACAUACAGGUGCAUCUCUUUCUGGAAAUCUGCAUCUCAGGUUGGAAGAGGUGGCCUGUAAAUUCCCUGUGGAAGGGGAGAAGGCCCUCCAAGCCUUUAAUGGAAUGCCUCAAACACUUGCAAGGAAAUAAAUAAUGCAAGCCUGCCAUUCGAAAAACUGAUAAGGCUCACAGGCACUGAAGAAGCAAUGUAAUGACUGUCUUGUGAAGACAAUAUAGCUCUGCUGCUCUUCUGGUGAGCUUGCUAGUUCUCUGUUCUCAAGGCCAUUAUGUCUGAUAAUUGACCUUUGCUUCCUUAUCUACAAAAUGCAUAUGAAAGUGCACACCCCUGCAUAUGGUAAUGAAGAUUAUAGAGGUCAUGCUAAAUACAUAUGACUAUGGCACUUGUCUCUCCAUCUAAAUCAUGCCACACAUAACCUGAGAGAAGGGAAAAACCUGAGACAAGGCUGUCCUUGGCAAGGGGAAGUGGACCAUGCUAAUUCAGCAAACAUAAAAGGGGAAAAUAAGCACCCCUAAGAGAAAAAAAAGAAGAAGGUUGUUCACUGAAUUUCACUGAAUUUUCACUGAAUUUUUUAGAGUUGGAAGGGACCAUAGAGAUCAUCUAGUCCAACUCCCCAGCUGAAGCAGGAUUGCCUGGAGUUGUUGCCUGGGAAGAAUUUUCCCAAAAAGGAAGAUCUUACUUGGGGAAAAAUUUUCCUAAGAAAAAAGACUGUACUUGGAGAGAUUUUUCCAAGAAAGAAGAAGAAGAUUAUGUCUGUGAAGACUCCCUGAAAAUGAUGCUGGAACCAGGACUGGUGAUCUCUUUAUCUCUGUCUUUUUCUCUGCCUUUUUCUUUCUCUUCCCCUUGGUUUCUCUUUUCUCUUAGAGUUGUUAGGUAAUGCCCUUAAGUACUGCUUGUCAUAAGUUGUUGUAUAAAUAACAUGCUAAGUAACAAAAUACAUACCUCGCCGCUUGACAUAAUUUGUUAUGCCUAACCAAUUAUUGUAGGCUUGUUAAGAACUAUACUAAUCAUUUUGGGAAACUAAUAAAAAAGGCUCA